ACCGGCGCACGGGUGAGUAACACGUAUGCAACCUACCUUCAACAGGGGAAUAACCCGUCGAAAGACGGACUAAUACCCCAUAAUACAGGGCUCCCUCAUGGGAAUAUUUGUUAAAGAUUUAUCGGUUGAAGAUGGGCAUGCGUUCCAUUAGCUUGUUGGUGAGGUAACGGCUCACCAAGGCAACGAUGGAUAGGGGAACUGAGAGGUUUAUCCCCCACACUGGUACUGAGACACGGACCAGACUCC
RNAcentral lists this ribosomal RNA (246 nucleotides) under uncultured Porphyromonadaceae bacterium. Its description in RNAcentral is "partial 16S ribosomal RNA". It matches the Rfam family "Bacterial small subunit ribosomal RNA", at positions 94 to 339 of the family's 1533-position model. Lineage: Bacteria; Pseudomonadati; Bacteroidota; Bacteroidia; Bacteroidales; Porphyromonadaceae. The record is from RNAcentral.